Molecule: non-coding RNA, 354 nt
Filed under: Absidia glauca
Lineage: Eukaryota; Fungi; Mucoromycota; Mucoromycetes; Mucorales; Cunninghamellaceae
Description: Eukaryotic small subunit ribosomal RNA
Rfam family: Eukaryotic small subunit ribosomal RNA
Source: Rfam by way of RNAcentral
CCGCUAGAGGUGAAAUUCUUGGAUUGGCCGAAGACAAACUACUGCGAAAGCAUUUGACCCAGGACGUUUUCAUUGAUCAGGGACUAAAGUUGAGGGAUCGAAGACGAUGAGAUACCGUCGUAGUCUUAACCACAAACUAUGCCGACUAGCGAUUGGGCCUUGACCUUUGGUCAGGUUCAGCAGCUUAGCGAAAGUAAAGUCUUUGGGUUCUGGAGGGAGUAUGGGACGCAAGGCUGAAACUUAAAUGAAUUGACGGAAGGGCACCACCAGGAGUGGAGCCUGCGGCUUAAUUUGACUCAACACGGGGAAACUCACCAGGUCCAGACAUAAUAAGGAUUGACAGAUUGAAAGCUC